This 420-nucleotide ribosomal RNA is filed under the name uncultured bacterium. Its description in RNAcentral is "bacterial SSU rRNA". It matches the Rfam family "Bacterial small subunit ribosomal RNA", at positions 384 to 793 of the family's 1533-position model. The record is from RNAcentral.
UGAUGCAGCCAUGCCGCGUGUGUGAAGAAGGCCUUCGGGUUGUAAAAGCACUUUCAGUAGGGAGGAAGGUAGUGUAGUUAACACCUGCAUUAUUUGACGUUACCUACAGAAGAAGCACCGGCUAACUCCGUGCCAGCAGCCGCGGUAAUACGGAGGGUGCGAGCGUUAAUCGGAAUUACUGGGCGUAAAGCGCAUGCAGGCGGCCUGUUAAGUCAGAUGUGAAAAGCCCGGGCUUAACCUCGGAAAUUGCAUUUGAAAACUGGCAGGCUAGAGUCUUGUAGAGGGGGUAGAAUUUCAGGUGUAGCGGUGAAAAUGCGUAGAGAUCUGAAGGAAUACCAGUGGCGAAGGCGGCCCCUGGACAAAGACUGACGCUCAGAUGCGAAAGCGUGGGGAGCAAACCAGGAUUAGAUACCCUGGUAG